UACGAACCGUACAAACGUUAUUCGGAAUCACUGGGCUUAAAGGGUGCGUAGGCGGCCAUGUAAGUGAGGUGUGAAAUCCCUCGGCUCAACCGAGGAACUGCGCUUCAUACUGCAUGGCUUGAGGGAGACAGGGGUAAGCGGAACUGAUGGUGGAGCGGUGAAAUGCGUUGAUAUCAUUUGGAACGCCGACGGUGAAAACAGCUCGCUGGGAGUGUCCUGACGCUGAGACGCGAAAGCCAGGGGAGCGAACGGG
This 253-nucleotide ribosomal RNA is filed under the name uncultured bacterium. RNAcentral describes it as "partial 16S ribosomal RNA". It matches the Rfam family "Bacterial small subunit ribosomal RNA", at positions 524 to 776 of the family's 1533-position model. The record is from RNAcentral.